UACGGAAGGCAGCAGUGGGGAAUAUUGCACAAUGGGCGCAAGCCUGAUGCAGCCAUGCCGCGUGUAUGAAGAAGGCCUUCGGGUUGUAAAGUACUUUCAGUCGUGAGGAAGGUGUUAAGGUUAAUAACCUUAGCAAUUGACGUUAGCGACAGAAGAAGCACCGGCUAACUCCGUGCCAGCAGCCGCGGUAAUACGGAGGGUGCGAGCGUUAAUCGGAAUUACUGGGCGUAAAGGGCACGCAGGCGGUUAAUUAAGUUGGAUGUGAAAUCCCCGGGCUUAACCUGGGAAUGGCAUUCAAGACUGGUUAGCUAGAGUCUUGUAGAGGGGGUGAAUUCCAUGUGUAGCGGUGAAAUGCGUAGAGAUGUGGAGGAAUACCGGUGGCGAAGGCGGCCCCUGGGACAAAGACUGACGCUCAUGUGCGAAAGCGUGGGGAGCAAACAGGAUUAGAUA
Molecule: ribosomal RNA, 450 nt
Filed under: uncultured bacterium
Lineage: Bacteria
Description: bacterial SSU rRNA
Rfam family: Bacterial small subunit ribosomal RNA
Source: RNAcentral